This 76-nucleotide transfer RNA is filed under the name Arsenophonus endosymbiont of Bemisia tabaci Asia II 3. RNAcentral describes it as "tRNA-Thr". It matches the Rfam family "tRNA". From Rfam's summary of the family: Transfer RNA (tRNA) molecules are approximately 80 nucleotides in length. Their secondary structure includes four short double-helical elements and three loops (D, anti-codon, and T loops). Further hydrogen bonds mediate the characteristic L-shaped molecular structure. tRNAs have two regions of fundamental functional importance: the anti-codon, which is responsible for specific mRNA codon recognition, and the 3' end, to which the tRNAs corresponding amino acid is attached (by aminoacyl-tRNA synthetases). tRNAs cope with the degeneracy of the genetic code in two manners: having more than one tRNA (with a specific anti-codon) for a particular amino acid; and 'wobble' base-pairing, i.e. permitting non-standard base-pairing at the 3rd anti-codon position. Lineage: Bacteria; Pseudomonadati; Pseudomonadota; Gammaproteobacteria; Enterobacterales; Morganellaceae. The record is from RNAcentral.
GCCGGCUUAGCUCAGUUGGUAGAGCAACUGACUUGUAAUCAGUGGGUCACCAGUUCGACUCCGGUAGCCGGCACCA